UGAUUUGAGAACAUCUAAAACCAUAUAGCCACAUAACUGGAGAUGUACAUUCAAAAGAAGUUUUUGUUAUUCAUAAAUCUUCCUGGUGAUUUCAAAAUGGCCGCUUGGUCAGGCUGAGGGAGCGGGACAGGAAUUCAUGAGGCAGCACCCCAUGCUGCAUGAAGAAAGCGGAGCCAAGGUUGUAAGACAAACAGCAAAGCCAGUAAGAAGGUGUCGAAGGCUACACCUGAAAGCAGAAAUAACGAACCAAAGGAAAAGUGAUAAAGGAGAGAAGGAAAUUAAGGAGAGAAAGCACGGAGAGAGUGCUCUCAGAAGAUGCCUUCAGCCACCAGGAGCAGACGCGCUGAAAACAGGAGAGAACAAAAGAAGACAAAGAUCCAAGGGUCCAGACCUACCCAGCUUGGGGAAGUAAGAGAGGCGUCUGGGGCAGGGUCUCCCUUCUCUCCCGUCUCGGCCGUCAGUGUCAUUCUGCAAUAGCUUCCCCGAGAAGCCCGGCCCUCCUGGGUUUCCCGAGAGUUUCCUUUCUCCCUGUAGCCACGGCCUGAGGACAGUUCUGAAGACAUGACAGGAGGGCGGUACAUGGUCAAAUCCUGCACGCUCGUAAGAAAAACAGGAAGACCAUUCUAAGGCCGAUGCCUUUGGACAGACAACAUCUAUAUUUAAAAGGGUACUCACCAGACGCCUUACUUUUGUGUAGUAGUGAUUAUGUAUGGUGUAGUUUUCCAAGGUCAUCCGAGAACACAGAAAAGCUGCCGAGUUAGUUAUUAUUCCUAGUAUCCUUCCAUACUCAACGAUCUCCUCCCCAGGACCGACGUUUGGGGUUUUAGACUAGCUUAUCCCCCACCAUGCAUCUUAAAACAUAAGCGAUGUGCGGAGCACAUGCACGAUGGGUGGGUAGAGAUUACACAGAAAAACAGAAAUUAGGGGCGCCUGGGCGGCUCAGUGAGUUAAGCGGCCAACUCUCGGUUUGGGCUCAGGCGGUGAUCUCGCGGUUCGUGAGCUCGAGCCCCGCAUCGGGCCCUGUGCUGACAACGUGGAAUUUCUCUCUCUCCUCCUCUCUCUGCCCCUUCCCCACUCUCUCUCUCUUUCCCAAAACAAACAAACAAAUAAAUAAUAAAGUAAAAAAAAAUUAAAAAACA
Molecule: long non-coding RNA, 1139 nt
Filed under: Felis catus (domestic cat)
Lineage: Eukaryota; Metazoa; Chordata; Mammalia; Carnivora; Felidae
Description: lncRNA (ENSFCAG00000048088.1)
Source: RNAcentral